AGGGCACCACCAGGAGUGGAGCCUGCGGCUUAAUUUGACUCAACACGGGAAAACUCACCCGGCCCGGACACUGUGAGGAUUGACAGAUUGAUAGCUUUUUCAUGAUUCAGUGGAUGGUGGUGCAUGGCCGUUCUUAGUUCGUGGAGUGAUUUGUCUGGUUUAUUCCGAUAACGAGCGAGACUCUAACCUACUAAAUAGUUGAUAUUUAUUUAUAAGGAUAUACAACUUCUUAGAGGGAUUUGCGGUGUUUAGCCGAAAGAAAUUGAGCAAUAACGGGUCUGUGAUGCCCUUAGAUGUCCGGGGCUGCACGCGCGCUACACUGGCAAAAUCAACGUGCUUGUCCUUCCCCGAAAGGGGCGGGUAAACCAUUGAAAAUUUGCCGUGAUUGGGAUCGGAAAUUGCAAUUAUUUUCCGUGAACGAGGAAUUCCAAGUAAGUGCGAGUCAUCAGCCCGCGUUGAUUACGUCCCUGCCCUUCGUACACACCGCCCGUCGCUGCCCGGGACUGAGCCAUUUCGAGA
RNAcentral lists this ribosomal RNA (519 nucleotides) under uncultured eukaryote. RNAcentral describes it as "SSU rRNA". It matches the Rfam family "Eukaryotic small subunit ribosomal RNA", at positions 1161 to 1704 of the family's 1831-position model. The record is from RNAcentral.